CCUACGGGUGGCAGCAGUGAGGAAUAUUGGUCAAUGGGCGCGAGCCUGAACCAGCCAAGUAGCGUGAAGGAUGACUGCCCUACGGGUUGUAAACUUCUUUUAUAAAGGAAUAAAGUGAGGCACGUGUGCCUUUUUGUCUGUACUUUAUGAAUAAGGAUCGGCUAACUCCUUGCCAGCAGCCGCGGUAAUACGGAGGGUCCGAGCGUUAUCCGGAUUUAUUGGGGUUAAAGGUAGCGUAGAUGGGUUGUUAAGUCAGUUGUGAAAGUUUGCGGUUCAACCGUAAGAUUGCAAUUGAUACUGGCAGUCUGGAGUAGAGGUGAGGUAGGCGGAAUUCGUGGGGUAGCGGUGAAAUGCUGAGAUAUCACGAAGGAACCCGAUUGCGAAGGCAGCUUACUAAACUGUGACUGACAUUGAUGCUCGAAAGUGUGGGUAUCAAACAGGAUUAGAUACCCCUGGUAGUC
This 461-nucleotide ribosomal RNA is filed under the name uncultured bacterium. RNAcentral describes it as "partial 16S ribosomal RNA". It matches the Rfam family "Bacterial small subunit ribosomal RNA", at positions 338 to 795 of the family's 1533-position model. The record is from RNAcentral.